Molecule: long non-coding RNA, 630 nt
Organism: Amphiprion ocellaris (clown anemonefish)
Lineage: Eukaryota; Metazoa; Chordata; Actinopteri; Pomacentridae
Source: Ensembl
CAUAAAUACCAACUCAGAGUAAACAAGUAUCACAGCCUCACCUGGGAGCCUGAUGAGGACAUCAGAGGCAGUGCACUCAUAACUGUUACCUGAGGACAAACUACAAACACAAGGUCUUCCUUCCAAGGAAUAAUUACUACUUUCUCUCUCUUGCACGAAAGACAAGAUCUACAGUCUACUAUAGGCAUGGACAACAGACUAGUCUUCACUGUCCUGGUUGUGAUGAUGUCCUUGAACUUUAUGGGCCCCUAUGCUCAAAGCUCCACAACCACAACUGCAGCAACCACAACGACACCAACCCCCACCACUGCGGCAACCACGAAACCAUCCACCACAACUGCGGCAACCACAACGACAACAACCGCAACCGCAACUACAGCAACAACUGCAACUACAGCAAGCAGAGGGCCGCCAACAACUGUAACUACAGCAACAACUGCAACUACAGCAAGCACAGCACCACCAACAACCGUAACUACAGCAAGCACAGCGCCACCAACAACCGCAACUACAGCGACUACAGCAAGCAUAGCGCCGUCAACAACCGCAACUACAGCAACUACAGCAAGCACAGCGCCGCCAACAACUGUAGCUUCAGUAAGCACAGCACCACCAACAACCGCAACUACA